GUCGCACGAGAAAGUGGAGCAAUCCAUGAGUAGAGUGGCGUACGGGUGAGUAACACGUGGAUCAUCUGCCUCUUAGUGGGGAAUAACCCUGGGAAACCGGGGCUAAUACCGCAUAAGCUCGAGAGAGGAAAGCAGUAAUGCGCUGAGAGAGGAGUCCGCGGCCGAUUAGCUAGUUGGCAGGGUAAAAGCCUACCAAGGCAAAGAUCGGUAGCCGGCCUGAGAGGGCACACGGCCACACUGGCACUGAAACACGGGCCAGACUCCUACGGGAGGCAGCAGUGGGGAAUCUUGCACAAUGGGGGAAACCCUGAUGCAGCGACGCCGCGUGAGCGAUGAAGCCCUUCGGGGUGUAAAGCUCUUUCGGCAGGGAAGAUGAUGACGGUACCUGCAGAAGCAGCUGCGGCUAACUACGUGCCAGCAGCCGCGGUAAUACGUAGGCAGCAAGCGUUGUUCGGAGUUACUGGGCGUAAAGGGUGUGUAGGCGGUUGUUUAAGUUUGGUGUGAAAUCUCCCGGCUCAACUGGGAGGGUGCGCCGAAUACUGAAUGACUCGAGUGCGGGAGAGGAGAGUGGAAUUCCUGGUGUAGCGGUGAAAUGCGUAGAUAUCAGGAGGAACACCGGCGGUGUAGACGGCUCUCUGGACCGUAACUGACGCUGAAACACGAAAGCGUGGGUAGCAAACAGGAUUAGAUACCCUGGUAGUCCACGCCCUAAACGAUGCAUAUUUUGGUGUGGGUCAUUCAGUUGAUCCGUGCCGGAGCUAACGCGUUAAAU
RNAcentral lists this ribosomal RNA (772 nucleotides) under uncultured bacterium. RNAcentral's name for it is "bacterial SSU rRNA". It matches the Rfam family "Bacterial small subunit ribosomal RNA", at positions 61 to 865 of the family's 1533-position model. The record is from RNAcentral.